Molecule: ribosomal RNA, 309 nt
Filed under: uncultured bacterium
Lineage: Bacteria
Description: bacterial SSU rRNA
Rfam family: Bacterial small subunit ribosomal RNA
Source: RNAcentral
GAUGAACGCUAGCGGGAGGCCUAAUACAUGCAAGUCGAGCGGUAGAGUGACUUCGGUUGCUUGAGAGCGGCGAACGGGUGAGUAACGCGUACACAAUCUACCUUUAAGAGGGGAAUAGCCCUGGGAAACUGGGAUUAAUGCCCCAUGGCAUCACGAGACGGCAUCGUUUUGUGAUUAAAGACUGAGGUGCUUAGAGAUGAGUGUGCGUCUGAUUAGCUAGUUGGUGCGGUAACGGCGCACCAAGGCGACGAUCAGUAGGGGGCGGUGAGAGCGUGGACCCCACCACGGGUACGUGAGACACGGACCCGA